Molecule: ribosomal RNA, 496 nt
Filed under: uncultured bacterium
Lineage: Bacteria
Description: partial 16S ribosomal RNA
Rfam family: Bacterial small subunit ribosomal RNA
Source: RNAcentral
GAUGAACGCUGGCGGCGUGCCUAAUACAUGCAAGUCGAGCGAACGGACGAGAAGCUUGCUUCUCUGAUGUUAGCGGCGGACGGGUGAGUAACACGUGGAUAACCUACCUAUAAGACUGGGAUAACUUCGGGAAACCGUAGCUAAUACCGGAUAAUAUUUUGAACCGCAUGGUUCAAAAGUGAAAGACGGUCUUGCUGUCACUUAUAGAUGGAUCCGCGCUGCAUUAGCUAGUUGGUAAGGUAACGGCUUACCAAGGCAACGAUGCAUAGCCGACCUGAGAGGGGGAUCGGCCACACUGAACUGAGACACGGUCCAGACUCCUACGGGAGGCAGCAGUAGGGAAUCUUCCGCAAUGGGCGAAAGCCUGACGGAGCAACGCCGCGUGAGUGAUGAAGGUCUUCGGAUCGUAAAACUCUGUUAUUAGGGAAGAACAUAUGUGUAAGUAACUGUGCACAUCUUGACGGUACCAAAUCAGAAAGCCACGGCUAACUACGUG